AGGCGGUACGAACACACGAUGGGAAAUCGUAUGUUAUUUGGAAUAAAGGGCAUUAGGACGAGGGGAAAUGAUUUAUAUGGCAAGAGAAUAAGAAAAAUGAUGAUGCGCGGCACCUAGGGAAAAGAUGAAGAGAAACCGAAGGGGACAUGACAGCUUUGGAAGUGGAAGAGGAAACGUUGAAACGCCCCUCUCUGGCUACUGCGUAAUUGCUCUUAUUCUUAAUUAACUACUGGGGACCAGUAUGGUCGCCUAUGUUGAACAUGCCGAUAUAUGGGCCCUUUUUCCUCCGGAUACAACCCUUAUAUGCUGGACCUUUCUAGCUAUCUCAAUCUACUACCUCCAUCAUGAAAUAAAAGGUAUUCUAG
This 365-nucleotide long non-coding RNA is filed under the name Setaria viridis. RNAcentral's name for it is "long non-coding RNA (SVIR_LNC001311)". Lineage: Eukaryota; Viridiplantae; Streptophyta; Magnoliopsida; Poales; Poaceae. The record is from RNAcentral.